This 429-nucleotide ribosomal RNA is filed under the name Actinomycetes bacterium. RNAcentral's name for it is "Actinobacteria bacterium partial 16S ribosomal RNA". It matches the Rfam family "Bacterial small subunit ribosomal RNA", at positions 355 to 776 of the family's 1533-position model. The record is from RNAcentral. Lineage: Bacteria; Bacillati; Actinomycetota; Actinomycetes.
UAGGGAAUCUUCCGCAAUGGGCGAAAGCCUGACGGAGCAACGCCGCGUGAGUGAUGAAGGUCUUCGGAUCGUAAAACUCUGUUAUUAGGGAAGAACAAAUGUGUAAGUAACUAUGCACGUCUUGACGGUACCUAAUCAGAAAGCCACGGCUAACUACGUGCCAGCAGCCGCGGUAAUACGUAGGUGGCAAGCGUUAUCCGGAAUUAUUGGUCGUAAAGCGCGCGUAGGCGGUUUUUUAAGUCUGAUGUGAAAGCCCACGGCUCAACCGUGGAGGGUCAUUGGAAACUGGAAAACUUGAGUGCAGAAGGGGAAAGUGGAAUUCCAUGUGUAGCGGUGAAAUGCGCAGAGAUAUGGAGGAACACCAGUGGCGAAGGCGACUUUCUGGUCUGUAACUGACGCUGAUGUGCGAAAGCGUGGGGAUCAAACAGG